Molecule: ribosomal RNA, 292 nt
Filed under: uncultured bacterium
Lineage: Bacteria
Description: partial 16S ribosomal RNA
Rfam family: Bacterial small subunit ribosomal RNA
Source: RNAcentral
GUGCCAGCCGCCGCGGUAAUACGUAGGGGGCAAGCGUUGUCCGGAUUUAUUGGGCGUAAAGAGCGUGUAGGCGGUCAGGUAGGUCGGUUGUGAAAACUGGAGGCUCAACCUUCAGAGGUCGACCGAAACCCCCUGGCUAGAGUCCGGGAGAGGAGAGUGGAAUUCCUGGUGUAGCGGUGAAAUGCGCAGAUAUCAGGAAGAACACCCGUGGCGAAAGCGGCUCUCUGGAACGGUACUGACGCUGAGACGCGAAAGCGUGGGGAGCGAACAGGAUUAGAAACCCUUGUAGUCC